CAUUAAGUUAUGUUCUUAAUCCUUAGUUGAAGCACCGAAACGAGAAGACUAAGUGAUAGAUAAUCAAGAAAUUGGAUUUAAUUAACUUAGAUCUAGAAAUAAACUAAGGAUUAAGAAGAUUUAUAGAUUAAUUAAGGAACCUAAUGGGUCUUGAUUAAUUUUAACUCUAUGAAAGUAGGAUUAAGUUAAUUAAGGCACUCUUUGUAUCACUCGAAAGAGUUUUCAAAGGA
Molecule: unclassified non-coding RNA, 230 nt
Filed under: Hevea brasiliensis (rubber tree)
Lineage: Eukaryota; Viridiplantae; Streptophyta; Magnoliopsida; Malpighiales; Euphorbiaceae
Source: RNAcentral